RNAcentral lists this long non-coding RNA (317 nucleotides) under Astyanax mexicanus (Mexican tetra). RNAcentral's name for it is "lncRNA (ENSAMXG00005002239.1)". The record is from RNAcentral. Lineage: Eukaryota; Metazoa; Chordata; Actinopteri; Characiformes; Acestrorhamphidae.
AGCUAGCUUCCCUGCUGCAUCACCCAGCAGUUCAGAAUGGCAGCAGCGGCCACGCUCUCAACAUCAGCCCAACAUCAGUGACUUUUCCUCCAUGCCUGAUUUCACUGCGGUCAGAUCCACUGUCUCCUCCAACCAGACUGAGAGACUGGAGCAAAGAAGAAGACGUGCAUGAGCGACAAAAGAGGAGGAGGAGGAGGUCAAGUAGUGAUGUGUCCACAGUGAUGUGCUGCUUCAAAAGGGGAGGAGUCAGAAUACAGGUCUCAGCUCCGACCAUAACCUAACCCCCCUGGCAGUGGACGUUCAGAUGCUCCAGAAGC